UACGUAGGGCGCAAGCGUUGUCCGGAAUUAUUGGGCGUAAAGAGCUCGUAGGCGGUUUGUCACGUCUGCUGUGAAAACCCAGGGCUCAACCCUGGACUUGCAGUGGAUACGGGCAGGCUAGAGUUCGGUAGGGGUGACUGGAAUUCCUGGUGUAGCGGUGAAAUGCGCAGAUAUCAGGAGGAACACCGGUGGCGAAGGCGGGUCACUGGGCCGAUACUGACGCUGAGGAGCGAAAGCGUGGGGAGCGAACAGG
RNAcentral lists this ribosomal RNA (253 nucleotides) under uncultured bacterium. RNAcentral's name for it is "partial 16S ribosomal RNA". It matches the Rfam family "Bacterial small subunit ribosomal RNA", at positions 524 to 776 of the family's 1533-position model. The record is from RNAcentral.